RNAcentral lists this ribosomal RNA (468 nucleotides) under uncultured bacterium. Its description in RNAcentral is "partial 16S ribosomal RNA". It matches the Rfam family "Bacterial small subunit ribosomal RNA", at positions 28 to 507 of the family's 1533-position model. The record is from RNAcentral.
GACGAACGCUGGCGGCGUGCUUAACACAUGCAAGUCGAACGGAAAGGCCCUGCUUUUGUGGUGUGCUCGAGUGGCGAACGGGUGAGUAACACGUGAGUAACCUGCCCUUGACUUUGGGAUAACUUCAGGAAACUGGGGCUAAUACCGGAUAGGAGCUCCUGCUGCAUGGUGGGGGUUGGAAAGUUUCGGCGGUUGGGGAUGGACUCGCGGCGUAUCAGCUUGUUGGUGGGGUAGUGGCUUACCAAGGCUUUGACGGGUAGCCGGCCUGAGCGGGUGACCGGACACAUUGGGACUGAGCUUCGGCGCAGACGCAUACGGGAGGCAGCAGUGGGGAAUAUUGGACAGUGGGCGGAAGCCUGAUGCAGCGACGCCGCGUGCGGGGUGACGGCCUUCGGGUUGUAAACCGCUUUCGCCUGUGACGAAGCGUGAGUGACGGUAAUGGGUAAAGAAGCACCGGCUAACUACGUG